This 94-nucleotide transfer RNA is filed under the name Burkholderia lata. Its description in RNAcentral is "tRNA-Arg". Lineage: Bacteria; Pseudomonadati; Pseudomonadota; Betaproteobacteria; Burkholderiales; Burkholderiaceae. The record is from RNAcentral.
CGCCGGAUAGUGGCGGCGCCAGUCGUCGAACCCGUCGGGCGUCCACGGCGCGCGCGUCAUGCGUGCGACUCCGGUUCCGGUUCGGGUUCGGCGC